Molecule: ribosomal RNA, 719 nt
Filed under: Syrphetodes obtusus
Lineage: Eukaryota; Metazoa; Arthropoda; Insecta; Coleoptera; Ulodidae
Description: eukaryotic LSU rRNA
Rfam family: Eukaryotic large subunit ribosomal RNA
Source: RNAcentral
CCGUUAUCUCGCAUUUUGGGGGCGCGUCCAAGUCCUUCUUGAACGGGGCCACAGCCCAUAGAGGGUGCCAGGCCCGUAGUGACCGCUCCUAUUUGCGAGAGGAUCUCUCCUCAGAGUCGGGUUGCUUGAAAGUGCAGCCCUAAGUGGGUGGUAAACUCCAUCUAAGGCUAAAUAUUACCACGAGACCGAUAGCGAACAAGUACCGUGAGGGAAAGUUGAAAAGUACUCUGAAGAGAGAGUUCAAUAGUACGUGAAACCGUUUAGGGGUAAACCUGAGAAACCCGAAAGGUCGAACGGGGAGAUUCAGCGUGUCUCGAUUAUGGCACUGUGACAGUUGUGCGACGAGCUUUUCACAUACACAUCUCUUCAUUGAGGUUGUUGUGGUGGUUUGCGUCAGCAGUUCAGUUGACCUAGUUGAACGCGUGCACUUCUCCCCCAGUAGGACGUUGCGAUUCGUUGGGUGUCGGUCUAAGGCCCAUGGUGGAGCUCGUUUACUUGGCUUGCCCAUGUUGAACGGACCCAUGGUGCUUCCCGACCGACACGCUCGACGAUAUACAGAAUGGCGCAAGGCCGCUACAUAUUUAGUUAGCGUUUGACCUACGGCAAGCGCGCUUGUUGUGUUGGUGAUCGGACCUGGUGCCGGUCCUGACCACUUGUGGCUGUUAGCUGUAGUGUUCUCAAACAGACCUUGAUGAAACGCCGAUCUGCAACGCUAUAGC